GAAGUUUAGGUCUCUUGUAAGAGUUGUCGGGAAUCAUACAAUUUAGCGGAAUCUUACAACUAAUAUAUCCACGAAUGAUUUCUUUAGGAAUAACGUACAAGCAUCGCCUAUUGCAGUCAAAUUGCAAAAUCUUAUUCGAAACUCAAGUUUAAUUACAUGCAUUAAUUCUUUAUACUCGUGAUACUGAGAGUUAUUAAUUAAUAAAUGAUGUAUGGAAUCUCACUAAGUUCAUUUGAUCUUAUGAGUGGUCUGCCUUAAAUGCAAGAUCAAAGGCUGUUAUAGAAUAUCUAGGAAGGAACCAAGCCAGACCUCGCAGAAUACAAGUGGACUUCUUUGAUGCAGUGAACAUAUAUAAAUAUGCCCUUAGAGGCUACGCCUCAAGGAUUGAAUAUGUAACUAAACAUAAUCUAAUUCGUCAAAUUACGUGUAUAAGUAUAUUUAGUAGAUUGGUAUGUUUGUAAAGAACCUUAAUCUGCUUAGUUAGUAAAUUGUAUAAUAAAAAAGUUCUAUAUGAUGUUCAUUUAUGGAAAUGUUAUGGCUAGUUAAUUAAUUGGAUUAAAGUUGUAUGAGAACGUAUUAUUGAAUCUGGCAUAAAAUUAAAUAAAUUGGAAAUAUAUUGUUAAGUAAUACGGUUUAAUUGUGGCAUUUGGUACCCAGACCCAACAAUUGGGUCAGGUAUAGGGUGUUACAUACUGUGAUUUUCCUCGCCAAGUUUUUCUAACUAGAUUUAUAGCUUUAUUUUUAUCUUAUUUCCCAAUACCUCAGAAAAGACCAAUAUCAAUUGUGUUCCACCUUCCUUAUUUGGGUGUACGAAUAUUGAAGUUCUGUGUUAACCUUGAGGGGCAACGACCACUACACGGUUACACUGACCAGGGUGAAUUUGCUUCUGUUGCAAUGGUUCUUCCACGACACAGUGCUUCUUUCUUUUAUUUACACUUGGCUUAUUUUCCAGUCAGUGCUAACUAUUUUGUUUUGUACUCGUAUUUUUCCAACAUACUCGACUACCCCCUCUUUUUAUGCUGGAACUUAAGUUUCUCAAAUGUAGCAGGUAAAUGUUUAGCAUCCCAAAUAUAUGCACUAAUCUCUAAAUAAUCCACCUUAUUUGACCUUAAUCAAUUAAAUGCGAUCGAAAAAUCUCCUUCAAGCUCAACAGAGAAAAAGCCCAUCUCCACCGCAAACUGGAUCACCAAAAUUGUACCACCCCUUACCCAUGUUCAACACCGGAAUAGGGUACGAGGCAUUAUCAAAGUUUACCGAAUUAAUUUUUUGUUAUUACGAGUUAAAUACUAUUCAUUUAGCAAAACAUGUCAUGACAUCCUUUAGAUGGGCCUUCAAAGCCCAAAACAUACUUCGGGACCAAACCGGGAUUAAAUCGAAACCAUAGGGAAUUUUUUACAAAAUUUCAAAUUUUUUUAUAAGCUCAAUAUAACCCCUUUAUAAAUAUCAAACCUUCCCUGCAAUUUUAAAACCGAGACCAAUUCAAACCAACCAAUCCAUUUCAACUAAUUUGACACCAAAUCAUACUUCUAUUAUAAUUAUACCAUUUAGCAUAUUCAUCACUCUUUACUUUAAUACGUAUUCAUUAAACAAGUCUUAGCAUUUAUUUAAUCAUCAAACCAUAUACAUGCCAUAUAAAUUAAAAAGGAAAUUUAAAAAAGCUACCGGAGAUAAUCUGGAUAAUGUGAUCCUCAGUGUUGAUCUGAUCCUCCGUAUAUUUUUACGUCAAUCUACAAGAGACAUUGAAUACACUCAAGUAAGCUUAUAGAAGCUUAGUAAGUUCAUAGGCAUAAAACAUAAAUCUUACCAAACAUUCAUACACUUAUACAAUAUACACAAUUACUAAGUUCACCUGUCAACCACAAUCAUUGGUGAGUUCCCUUGUAUAAACUCACUACCACUUAUCCACUUACUUUAAUUCUUUUAGGGCCCUUUGCCACUUACCAUUCUUUAUCAAAUUAGGAACAGUUGCGGAAAAUUGAGUACUUCACUUCCACUUUGCCAUAGUAUAACUAUGGUCUUGUGUAUCAUCACUUAUCACUUUCCGAAGCCAUAGUCCUGCCACGGUCUUACACAGAUCACAUUUAUCACUUGUCACUUGUCAUUGAUCAGAUAAGUGUAGCUAAAGCUACCACUUAUCACUUGUCACUUGUCACUGAUCAAAUAAGUGUAGCUGAGGCUACCACUUAUCACUUGUCACUAAUCAGAAGUACCCAAAUCCGACGUUUCACUUAAUUUGAUCAUUUAUUCGAUUUUCACAUUGUUAUUUUAUUCUCAAUUCAUCAAUAAAUAUAUCUCAUCAUACAUUAUAUAAUUCAUAAAAUUAACAUUUAAUCAUUAAAUUUCAACCAUAUGAACUUACCUGGGUCGAUUUACAAAAUUUGUGAAAGUUCAGGGACUAAUCAACUACUUUUUCCUUUCCUCGACUUGCUUCGGGUUCUCGAUCUAUCAUUGUAAAAUCAUUCACUUAUGUAUUGAGUUCACCUUCACUCUAUUUCACAUUCUUAAUGUUUAUAACCAACUUAUAAGUAACAUUAUCUAUAAUUUCACUAUUUACUUAUGUAUAUUCAAUGUUGUCCAUUCGUGUCAUAGUCACUAAAUUAUUUUUAUCUUGAGCUACAGAACUCCAAAUUAGGAUUCGCUAAUUUUUCUUGAGACUAGACUCAUAUAUCUUCUUACCAUAAAACUUUCAGAAUUUUUGGUUUAGCGAAUAAGUACAUUUUAUUCUUUAAAGUCACCCCUAUUCUAUUUUCUGAUAGUUCCGACCCUGCUUCACUAAAAAUUAAUUAUCUCCUCGUACGGAAUUCAGAUGAUGUUUCUGUUUAUUUCUCUUCAAAAUAUACUUAUUCAGGAUUUUAAACAUAUAAAUUUAAUCCCAUAGUUAUUUUUCUCAAUUUUUUUAUGGUUUCCCAAAAUCAAAACAGGGGAACCCGAAAUAAUUCUAACCUUAUCUCACAAAAUUUAUUAUAUCUCAUGAUUUACAAUUCCAUUUCUUACACCAUUUCUUCUAUAAGAAACUAGACUCAAUAAGAUUUAAUUUUAUAUUUUAUUCAUCCUCUAAUUCGAUUUCUAAAAUUUUUGGUGAUUUUUCAAAGUUAGACUACUGCUGCCUCGAAAACUGUUUUAGUGUAAAAUGUUGAUUUCCAUUUUGCCCCAAAUUUCACAGUUCAUACAAUUCAGUCCUUACUCAAUUAACCCCUCAAUUAAUCUAAUUUUUCUAAAUUAAUACUUUACCUAGACAUUAUAAGUUAUUUCACAACUAUUGAAAUUCAUAAUUUUCACAAAAAACCCUAACUUCAAACUCUUUUACAAUUAGGUCCCAAACAUUCACUUUCUAUUCAAUUCUUUCAAUAAAAUCAGCAUAUAAACAAUUUAAAACUCUAAUACCAUGCUAAAGCAUCAUAUACUUCCAGAACAUAUUCAUAGAAACUUUCAAUUUCUUUCAUAGAAUCAAAAAAUAAUGAAUUCAACAAGUAGACCUAGUUGUAAAAGUCACAAAAACACAAAAAUUUCAAUAAAUAAUCAAGAAUUGAAUUUACUUGCAGCAAAAAUAUGAAAAACCAGCUUAAAGAAACCCUUCUAUGGUGUUUUCACUAAUGAGAAUGUAGAAAAAUAAAGUGAAAUCUAGAUAAUUCCACUUUAGUCCUAGCUUUAUUAAGUAAAUUUUGCAAUAUUCCAAUUUUGCCCUUAAUUCCCCUUAUUUUCUUGUUGAUUUCAUGCCCUUGUCAUCCAGACCAAAUAGAUCUUGGGUUUAUUUGCCUUUUAAACCCUCUUUAUUUUAUCAUUUAAGCUAUUUAAUCAUUUUCCAUAAUUUUGCAUUUGUUACAAUUUAGUCCUUUUUGUUUAAUUAACUAUCAGAACUUUAAAAGUUUUUGACGAAACUUUAAUACUAACAUAUUAACACUCCAUAAAUAUUUAUAAAAAUAUUUAUGGCUAUGUUUAAAAUUUUCGAGGUCUCUUUGAUUCUAAUUAUUUUAAUAUUUAUUUCUAGUACACUAUUCACUAUUUCAAAAAUUUUCCUAACUUCACAUUUAACUUAUACUCACUAAAUUAAUAAUAUUUUCUACUCAUUUGUCAAAUUUAGUGAUCUUAAAUCACUGUUCCAAUACCAGUGAAAAUUCAGGCCAUUACAACUCUUCCCCCCUUUUAGGAAAUUUCGUACCUGUAAAUAUAUUUGGAUACUGAAGUCCCAUCAAUUCCUCCAUCUCCCAGGCUGCCUCCUCCUAUCCAUGUCGAUUCCAUAACACUUUAACUAGUGGUACACAUUUAUUCCUCAACUCUUUAACUUCCCGAGCUAGAAUUUUCACUGGUUCUUCUGAAUAAGUCAUGUCGGGUUAGAGCUCUAUCUCCGUAUGAGAAAUUACAUGUGAUGGAUCCGAUCUGUACCGUCUCAACAUAGACACAUGAAACACGUUAUGAAUCUUUUCAAGCUCCGGGGGCAAAGCCAAUCUAUAAGCUACCGGACCGAUUCUUUCAAUGAUUUCAUACGGCCCGAUAAAUCGUGGGUUGAGUUUUCCCUUUCUGCUGAACCGCAAAACUUUCUUCCAUGGUGGCACUUUCAAAAAUACACGAUCACCCACAUUAAACUUUAUAUCCCUUCUCUUCAAAUCUGCAUAUGAUUUUUGCCAAUCGGAGGCAGCUUUUAAACAAUCUCGAAUAAUACGAACUUUUUCUUCGAUUUCCCGAAUCAAGUCCACUUCCACUAGUUUCGGUUCACUUAAUUCAAACCAAUAUAAUGAGGUUCUACACUUUCUUCCAUAAAGAGCUUCAAAUGGUGCCAUUUUAUUACUAUUUUGAUAACUAUUAUUAUAAGAAAAUUCGGCUAAAGGUAAAUACCUUUCCCAGCUACUGCCGAACUCAAGUAUACAACACCUUAACAUAUCUUCUAAAAUCUGAAUCACUCGCUCUGACUGCCCAUCUGUCUGAGGAUGAAAUGAUGUGCUGAAAUUUAAUUUGGUGCCCAAAGCUUCGUGUAAUUUACCCCAAAAUCUCGAGGUAAAUCUUGAAUCUCGAUCUGAAAUAAUAGAUGCCGGUACCCCAUGUAACCUCGCUAUCUCUGACACGUAUAACUCCGCUAACUUUUUAAGCGGAUAAUUUGCUUUAACUAGAAUAAAAUAUGUUGAUUUAGUUAACUGAUCAACAAUCACCCAGAUCGAAUCUUUCUUCUUCAAAGUUACUGGUAAUCCGGAUACAAAAUCUAUCAUGGCAUGUUCCCAUUUCCACUCUAGAAUUAUAAUGGGCUGUAAUAACCCUGUCGGCACUUGAUGCUCAGCUUUCACCUGCUGAAAAAUCAAACAUCUUGCUACAUACUCAUAGAUUUCCCGUUUCAUUCUGGGCCACCAAUACAUUUUCUUUAAAUCACAAUACAUUUUCGUACUAUCCGGGUGAACAGAAUACAUACUACUGUGAGCCUCUAAUAAGAUAUCAUUUUUCAAGUCUAAGUUAUUCAGGACACAUAUUCUAUUACGAUAGUAUAACAUACCAUUUUCAUCAAUGGAGUAUUCCGAGCUUAACUCAUCUUGAACCAUUUGUCGUUUCGACAUCAAUUUUGGAUCUUCAUCUUAUAACUCUCGAAUCCGUUGAAAGAACACAAGUUUAGCUUUUAAUUCUACUAGUACAGAACCAUCUUCAUUAAUAGAUAGUGAUUGUUAAAUACCUGUAAAGCAAAUAAUAGUGAUUUCUGACUAAGUGCAUCUGCUACAACAUUUGCUUUCCCCAGGUGAUAGUCAAUGACAAGAUCAUAAUCUUUCAGCAACUCUAACCAUCGUCUCUGUCUUAGAUUUAACUCUUUCUGAAUCAUUAAAUAUUUCAAGCUUUUAUGACUAGUAUACACGUUACAUUUCUCACUAUAUAAAUAGUGUCUCCAUAUCUUCAAAGCAAACACGAUCGCUGCCAAUUCCAAAUCAUGUGUAGGAUAAUUCUUCUAGUGUCGUUUCAGUUGUCAAGAAGCAUAUGCCACCACUUUGCCUGACUGCAUAAGUACACAACCCAAACCAUUUAGAGAUGCAUUACUAUAUACCACAAACGGUACACCCAAUUCUGGUUGAGUCAACACUAGACCCUCUGUCAACAUUUUUUUCAACUGAUUGAAACUCUACUAACAUUCAUCUAACCACAUAAAUUCAACGGUAAGGUAAUCAUUGAGAAAUCUUUGAAAAAUCGGCGAUAAUAACCUGCCAAUCCUAGAAAACUCCGUACUUCAGUAACAUUCUUCGGAACUUUCCAAUUUACCACUGCCGCUACCUUACUUGGAUCCACUCUAAUUCUAUCAGCUGAUACAAUAUGACCCAAAAACACAACUUCAUGGAGCCAAAAUUCACAUUUGCUGAAUUUCGCAUAAGAUUGUUUCUCCCGUAAAAUCUAUAAUACAAUCCUUAAAUGUUAUGCAUGUUCGAACUUUUUCUUUGAAUAAAUCAAUAUAUCGUCAAUGAACACAACCAAAAAUCUAUCCAAAUAUGACUGAAAAAUUCGAUUCAUCAAAUUCAUAAAGGCAGCAGGAGCAUUGGUAAAACCAAAUGGCAUCACCAGAAAUUCAUAGUGACCAUAUCGGGUUCGAAAGGCAGUUUUCGGCACAUUACACUCUUUAACUUUCAACUGAUAAUACUCGGAUCGAAGGUCUAUCUUGGAAAAUACUGCAACACCUUUCAACUGAUCAAAUAGAUCAUCAAUACGAGGCAAAGGAUAUUUAUUCUUUACCGUUACCUUGUUCAACUGCCUAUAAUCUAUACACAGCCUUAAAAAUCGUCUUUCUUUUUCAUAAACAAGAUAGGUGUACCCUAGGGCGACAUACUCGGUCUGAUGAACCCUUUAUUUAAUAACUCAUGCAACUGCGUCUUCAGCUCUUUUAAUUUGUCUGGAGCCAUUAUGUAUGGUGUCACUGAGAUAGGAGUUGUUCCGGGAAUCACAUCAAUUACAAAUUCAACUUCUCUAUCAGGUGGUAAACCGGGUAACUCUUCAGGAAACACAUCAGGAAAUUCAUUCACCACUGGCACUUGUUCGAGCUUUAAAUCGGAACCCCGAGUAUUAAGAAUAUAGGCUAAGAAUGCCUCGUUGCCUUUGCGUAAUAACCUCUGAGCAGAGAGAACUGAAAUAAUUCUGACUGUAUCACCCAUAUUUUCAGACCAACUGAGAUUACGUCCCCUGUUUGACAUUUCAAAUUGAUCUAUUUAUCAUGACAAUUCACUACUGCAUCAUGUUUCAUUAACCAGUCCAUCCCCAGAAUAUUAUCAAAUUCCCGAAAGGUUAACAAUAUUAAACCAGCGGGGAAUUCAUAGCCUUUCACUUUCAAUGGACAAUUACGACAUAUCAAAUUAACUAUCACACUUUGACCUAAUGGAUUAGUGACUUGUAUAUCAAAAUCAGUAGACUCAAUAGAUAAUUUCUUUACAGAUGCUACCAUAGUACAAAUAUAUGAAUGAGUAGACCCAAGGUCUAUCAAUGCUUAAAUAGUAACAUCAUAAAGAUAGAAAGUACCAGCAAUUACAUCAGGAGCCAUAGCCUUUUCCCUUGCUCGAAUGGCGUAAGUAUGUGCUGGUUCUCUAUUCUUUGAUUGACUAAUUGAUUCUCUCGUACCCGAACAAGUAGCCCCUGUAGCACUGCUUUGGCCCGAACAUUUACUUCUUUGGGAAGUGGUUCUCUGUAUCUCUUUCUGUUCCACUUCAUCUUUUUGCAGCUAGGGACAAUCUCAAAUAAGAUGAUCAGUAGCCCCACAUUUAUAACAAGCCCCCAUCUUAGUCCUGCAUUCACCGAAAUGAUGUCUUCCACAAUAUUGACACUUAGGCCAAGGAGUAUUUUGAAAACUGCUCACACUUGCUGCAGGUCUAUCAAAUACCCUGAAAUCAGAUUGUCUUGAUCAACCCCUACCCGAUCUUUCUGGCAGUGAUGUAGUUCGACUAAUUUCUUCUCUAGAUUUCUUCACCGGUAAGUCUGAAAAUGAAUUAGAAGCUCCUCUUUUGAAUGACUCUUUACUUUUCUUAUCCCGUUUCAUUUUUCUGUUAUAUACUUCUUCGAGCUUUUGAGCACGAUCUGACAGAACAACGAACUCUCGUAUUUUAUUUCCCCCAAUCAUUAUUCUAAUCUCAUUAUUUAACCCUUCUUCAAAUCUGAUACACAUUUCUUCUUUAGUAGGUACAAUGUCUCGGGCAUAUUUACUGAAGUAGACAAAUUCUCUUUCAUAUUCAGCCACUGACUUAUUUCCCUGUCGUAGGUCGAGGAAUUCCCUUUUUAUUUUUAUCCAAAUACCGCCUGCCCACAUAUUUCUUCUUAAAUUCAUUUUGGAAAAUUCCCAAAAACUUUUCUCUACCAGUACCACGGCCUCAAUCAUUUCCCACCAACUAUAAGCUUCUUCUUUCAAUAGAGACACAACACCUCAAAUAAUCAUCUGGUGAACAAGCCAUUUCUUUAAAAAUUCUUAUCAAACUCUGUAACCAGUAUUCAGCUUUGACGUGGUCAUCAUCAAUCAUUCCCCAAAAUUCUUCGACUCCAAGUUUUCUAAGUCUUUCCAAUGGAGAACGCUUACUGGAUUCAGUCAUUGGAAGAGGUGAAGGAGGAACCAGGGGUACCACUGAUGGAGCAGUAAGGGGAGGAGGUGGCUGAGCCUGAUUUCUUUCUUGCAUCGCUUUAGUAUACCACUGAUUCAUAAUCCCAUAAAUCAUAUUCUUUAAUUCUUGCUCUCGCAUUAGGGAAAUCAGAACAUCACUGCUUGGUACUUGUUCAGAAAUAUGUAUUCUACUGUUAACUUCUUCCUGCUCAGUACGUUCAGGUCUAUCUAACAUCUUUAUAAUCGGAGAGUAUCUAUAAAAAUAACAAAGAUUAGAUCAGAUCAUACAUAUCACACUAUCACAGAUUUAUAUGGCAUGUAUUUCUAAACACUUUACACAUCACACAUGUUUAGAUAACCGGCUAAACUGGGCAUUGAUACUACUAAAUGUAACACCCCUUACCCAUGUUCAUCGUCGGAAUAGGGUACGAGGCAUUACCAAAGGUUACCAAAUUAAUUUUUCAUUAUUAAGAGUUAAAUACUAUUUAUUUACUGAAACAUUUCAUGACGUCCUUUAAAUGAGCCUUCAAAGCCCAAAACAUACUUCAAGACCAAACCAGGAUUAAAUCGAAACCAUAGGGAAUUUUUCGCAAAAUCCCAAAUUUUUUUUAUAAGCUCAAUAUAACCCCUUUAUAAAUAUCCAACCUUCCCUGCAAUUUUAAAACCGAGACCAAUCCAAACCAACCAAUCCAUUUCAACCAAUUUGAUACCAAAUCAUACUUCUAUUAUAAUUAUACCAUUUAGCAUAUUCAUCACCCUUUACUUUAAUACGUAUUCAUUAAACAAGUCUUAGCAUUUAUAUAAUCAUCAAACCAUAUACAUGCCAUAUAAAUUAAAAAGGAAAUUUACAAAAGCUACCGGAGAUAAUCUGGAUAGUGUAAUCCUCAGUGUUGAUCGAUCCUGUAACACCCUUCGCCCGUAUCCCUCGCCUGAACAGGGUUCGAGGUGUUACCCGACUUAAACUCAAUCAAUUACACAAAAACCGUGCCGUAAAAUUUCAACCAAUUUAAAACUACCGUGCCGUAAAAUUUCAACCAAUUUAAAAUUUUUCUUUUCACAUGCAAUCUGUCCCAUGUAUGGGCUUAUGAGGCCCAAAACAUACCUCUGGGGUGGUUCGGGACCCAACCGGAACUCAUGAAAAACUUAGAAAAUCUCUUGCAUCAAAGCUUCACACGCCAGUGUGGGUAUAGAGCACACGUCCGUGUGCUACUACCAUGCAUAUAAACUUGAAAAACUUAGGUGCAGGGGACACACGGUUGGACAACACGCCAUGGGGGCAGACCGUAUGCCACACACGGUCUAGACACACGCCCAUGUGUCUACCCGUGUGGACAAUUACAAGGCUAUUUUCCAAGCCAUUUGUCACCCUCACAACAUGUGCACAUAUACUUAUCCAAUAACAUACAACAUGGCAUAAAUGAGCUCUUAAACAUCUACAAACAUUAUGCUCAAGUCAUUUUUUUAUGCAAUAAAUACCAUAGAAUUUGCUUACAUCACAAGAGAUAGUAUCAUACAUAUAUAUGAAUAAACAUUUAGGUCCACAACAUCAUUAGCCAACAUAGGCCAAUUCACAUGGCCAAAACACUUUAUCAAUACAAGCCAACACCUUUGGUUAGAUUAUAAUAUCACAUACUCAACAUUAAAACCCUAUACAUGCCAUAGACUCAAAACACUAGGAUUUACUUACACCAAUAGCGUGAACUCGACAGUGUGAUAAUAUCUUGAUGGCCUCCAACCCGAGCAAACCUGGCAACCCUAGAGAACAUGGGAAAGAAGGGGGGUAAGCUUUACGCUUAGUAAUUUCUUAAGAAAACAAUUAGCAGCUCAUUUAUAUGUUUUAUCAAUGUUUACAACAUAUACUCAAGUUCACAACAAGCUAUCUUCCUGAGCAACAGUCACUAAAUUAUUUAAAACUGCAGCUAUGAAACUCCAAAUCAAUUGACGUUAAUUUUCCCUGAAAAUAGACUCAUAUAUCUUCUAUCCAUAAAAUUUUCAGAAUUUUUGGUUUGGCCAAUCAAUACCAGAUUUUUCUUAAAUUUUCCCUUGUUUCACAGUUUGACUAAUCUAACCACUCUUCACUAUGAGUCCAAUUUCUCAUUGUACAGAAUUCAAAAUAUGUUCUCGUUGAUUUCAUUUGAAACUAGACUCACUAAGGAGUCUAAGAAUAUAAAAAUUAUCUUAUAACCAUUUUUUUACAAAUUAUAAUGAUUUUCUAAAAACAGAACAAGGGACCCCGAAGUCAUUUGAUUCUAUCCCACGCCACUUCAAAUAUCUCAUUAUCAGCAAUUCUUUUGCUUAUAUGGUUUCUUUUAUAAGAAACUAGACUCAUUAAGAUUUAAUCACAUAAUUUAUUCAGCUUCUAACUCAACUCCGACAAUUUAUGGUGAUUUUCCAAAAUCAUGUUACUGCUGCUGUCUCAAGCAGAUUUAUUACAAAUUUACUCUUUCACACAUUCUUUGCAUUCAUAUUAUUUAAACAUGUAUAUCACCAAUCAAUUUCAUCACAUAUCUACUAUACUUUUACUUAAGCAUAAUCUCAAUACAAUACAUCAUGCUCAAUGAUUCGCACACAACCAUUCAAAUUAGAAAUUAUAAGGUGGUUCCGCACAUAGCCCACCCUUAUUGAUAAUUUACGAUGGUUUUACCCCUACUCACAUCUAUGACAUAGGCAUUUUCACCUAUGCUUCUCAAUUCACAUUCGUGAUUCAAUUCCAAUCGAUCUAACAUGCAUAAGUACAUAUCGCAUAUUUGGCCAACUUAAUGUAUUGAACGAAUUCAAUUUUCGAUUUAACACAAGGUCUCAUAGUUGAACAUAAACAUGAAACCAUUUCUCAUACGUUCGAUUCACAUCAAUCAUCAAAUUCAUUUAAUUCACAUGUACAUAGUUAGGUUGUUCGUACCUGAAUAAUUUACUUUACGGAAUGAAUCCACAUAUUGUAUUAGCCCAUAGUCUUAUAGCACCACACUUUUAAUAGUUCACUGGCAAUUUGCCUGUUAGGUAAUAACCUGAUUUCAUCACCGGCCAUAAGCCUGCUAGACUUUAAGUCUAAAUUCAUUCACCGGCAUUUCUCCUGCUAGGCUUGAAGCCCGAUAUCAUUUCACCAGCAUUAUAGACUGCUAGGCCCAAGGCCCAAUAUUAUCUCACUGGCAUUAUAGCCUGCUAGGCCCGAAGCCUGAUAUCAUUUCACCGGCAUUAUAGCCUGCUAGGCCCGAAGCUCGUAUAUCACAUUUCGAUAAACAAUUCACUUGUUCUUUCACACUUUCAUAACUUAUACUUCAAUUACGUAUAACUGAAACACAUACCUAUGAAUAAAGAUUUUCAUCCUUUCAACCACAUAGGGUUUAAUUUCCACAUUGGAACACAUAUCUUAGUACAUCAUUUAAUAGUAUCAAAGUCGAUUAGAUAUGCUAGUCACAUACGGGUCAUAACUUUAAUUUAAUAUUCAUUCAACACAAAGAAUAUAUGUAUAUAUAUACAUAUAUACAAUCAAACAUUUCUUAAUUAUGAUUAUUCAACUCUUAAGCAUAUAACAUGAUUAAACACAAACACUUAAGAACUUACAUUGGAUUUUAUCGAAUAACUACGGAUUGACUAAUCGACUAGUUUCGCUUUCCCUUUAUCCAAAAUUGGCUCCUUAUGCUCUUGAGCUUGAAUUAAACAAAUUUAACUUUUUGUUAAUCAACUAAUCAAGCAUUGUAUCAUGAGUAUAUUCGGCUUUCACACAUUUUAAACAUAGUAAUAAUCAUGCACAUUAAAAUCAAAGUGCAAUUAAUCCCAUACACAAAAAUAUACGACACUUCAUUUCCAUCUACUUAUAUACACGUAUCACAUAAGACCAUUUCAUACUUUCUAUCACCUAAAUAAACAACAAAUUUUCCAAUUAAUUUCUUAAGUCCACAUUCGGCAUCUAUAUCCACAAAAAAACAUUAGCCGAUUACUAUAAAUCAUCUAAACUUUUUUCACUUAAAUCACACAUACAUAUCAUGCUAGCACAUAACACCAUGAUUUUGUCCUAAUUUGGACAGCCAAUAAUUUACAGUAUUACAGCAGCAUAUUAAUUAGCUAAGCACCAUAAAUUUGUCCUAAUUUGGACAGCCAAUAAUUUACAGCAUUACAGCAGCAAAUUAAUUAGUAAUAAACUAUCUUAAGUUCAAUUUUAACUCCCUCAUGCAGUAACCGAACAACAUGCAAGUUAACUUUCAACAUUCGGUCAAAGCAUUUAAAUAAAAGAAUAUGCAUGCUAAAUUUCCAGCAUUUGGGCAACAUUUCAACUUGAAAUUUUUUCCAGCUUUUCACCUUCAAUAUUUCGAAUAUUCAAAAGCAAAAAGAAGAGUGCAACUAAUCAAUUAAAAUUUUUUAACAUAAUUCAAGGUAUAUGUUCAACUGAACAUUCAUGUUAACUCAUAAUCAAUAAGGUAUUAAGUAGAAAAUAAAAACAUUAUUAGCAUGCAUCCUAUCUACAUACAACAACCAUUCAACUUCCAUCUAUUAUCAACCCUCAAUACACAAAACAUCAAAAACAACAUCAAAGAAAUAUAAACAUCCAUGACCGAAUGUCAUCUUCAUCAAUUUACAAAAAUUUUGCCAUGAGCUAACUUCUAUACUUGAUGACCACUCCAAAUAUACAAAGAUUUUCAAUGAAGGAGCAUUAAAAAUACCUUAAUCUAUACAUUCCCCAUAGCCGAAUGCCUUAGCUUCAUUUUCUCUUCUUUUCUUUAUGGUUUUCGGCAAUAAUUGGGAGAAAGGAUGGGUGUAACUUUGUUUUUAUCACCAUUUUCUAUUAUAAAAAUUCAUAUUUCAUCCUAUUAAUCUAUUAAACAUUUAAUUCUUUAAUAUAAAAGACAUGAAAUGCCCAUCAUCCACUAACUAUUAUAAUGCUAAAAUAAAAUGCAUAUAUUAUUUGCACCAUACUUAAGUUAUAAUAUAAAAUGCACAUAUUGCUUAUCAUUCCCAUCAUGGCCGGCCACUACAACUAAAGUGGGAAGUUUGACAUGCAAAUCCUCCUAUUUUGCACUACAAUUUAUUUGGCCAUUACAAAUUAACCUAUCACAUUUUCAAGAAUUUUCUCGUAAGUCCUAUUUCAUAAUUUCACUCACAAAUGACAAAAUCAAAGCAUGAAAUUUUCACACAUGCACUUUCACAUAUAAUAAGCACAGAAUAUAACAUUUAAUUAUUUUUGUGACUCGGUUUUGUGGUCCCGAAACCACUUUUCGACUAGAGCCAAAUUAAGGCUGUCACAUAUCCUCCGUAUAUUUUUACGUCAAUCUACAAGAGACAUUGAAUACACUCAAGUAAGCUUAUAGAAGCUUAAUAAGUUCAUUGGCAUAAAACAUAAAUCUUACCAAACAUUCAUACACUUAUACAAUAUACACAAUUACUAAGUUCACCUAUCAACCACAAUCAUUGGUGAGUUCCCUUGUAUAAACUCACUACCACUUAUCCACUUACUUUAAUUCUUUUGGGGCCAUUUGCCACUUACCAUUCUUAAUCAAAUUAGGAACGGUUGCAAAAAAUUGAGUACUUCAUUUCCACUUUGCCAUAGUAUAACUAUGGUCUUGCGUAUGAUCACUUAUCACUUUCCAAAACCAUAGUCCUGCCACGGUCUUACACAGAUCACAUUUAUCACUUGUCACUUGUCACUGAUCAGAUAAGUGUAGCUAAAGCUACCACUUAUCACUUGUCACUUGUCACUGAUCAGAUAAGUGUAGCUGAGGCUACCACUUAUCACUUGUCACUGAUCAGAAGUACUCAAAUCUGACGUUCCACUCAAUUUGAUCAUUUUUUCGAUUUUUGCAUUGUUAUUUUAUUCUCAAUUCAUAAAAUAAAUAUAUCUUGUCAUAUAUUAUAUAAUUCAUAAAAUUAACAUUUAAUCAUUAAAUUUCAGCCAUAUGAACUUACCUGGGUCGAUUUGCAAAAUUUGUGAAAGUUCAAGGACUAAUCAGCUACUUUUUCUUUUCCUCGACUCACUUCAGGUUCUCGAUCUAUCAUUGUAAAAUCAUUCACUUAUUAGUAUUGACUUCACCUUCACUCUAUUUCACAUCCUUAAUGUUUCUAUCCUACUUAUAAGUAACAUUAUCUAUAAUUUCACUAUUUACUUAUGUAUAUUCUAUGUUGUCCAUUCGUGUCAUAGUCACUAAAUUAUUUUUAUCUUGAGCUACAGAACUCCAAAUUAGGAUCCGCUAAUUUUUCCUAAAACUAGACUCACAUAUCUUAUUACCAUAAAAUUUUCAGAAUUUUCGGUUUAGCCAAUAAGUACAUUUUAUUCUUUAAAGUCACCCCUAUUCUGCUGUCUGACAGUUCUGACUCUUCUCCACUAAAAAUUAAUUAUCUCCUCGUACGGAAUUUGGAUGAUGUUCCCGUUUGUUUCUCUCUAGAGCCUUGGCCCCGAAUGCAUCAAGUAUAUUAAGAUUCCAUCUAAUCCAAGCCCUUGUAGCUAGACCCUCCGAAUUAUGAAUAAAGACCCUAGUACUUGUGUUCGCAUAUUUUUGGAAGUCCACAUCGAAAUUAACUUUAACAAAAGACUAUAAAGGCAGGAACCAACGAACUGGAUUCUGCUCUUCCUAAUGUAGCCCAUAAUAAAGGUAAAAAUCUAUUGAGUAGUUUGGUUCUUACCCUUAUGUACAUAUAAGUUCCUAGAAAACCACAGGGCCUAGAUGGUAAUAAUAAAUAGAAGUUUUAGGUUUGCAGAGCAAUAUUGGAAAAAAUUAUGAACCCAAACUAAGAUGCGAUCAUUGUCCUAAUAAAUUAUCUAGCUAAAUCCCAAUUUGUUUCAAAUUUGUGUAGCCACCUAACAAUAUCUACACACGUGAAACACACGCUUAGGCACCUGCAUGCAUCGAUAGCAAGUCGUAUCUUUUACUAGUCAUUUAAUAUAGAGAUUAUAUCUAGUACGUACAAAAUUAUUCAAAAAUUUCCACAACAUAAUUUUAGUUUUUUUUGGGGGGGCAACCAAAAGCCAUAAUUGGUUGUAAAUGUUCCAAAAGUUCAGACCAAUUCUUACAUAACCAUCCUCCCUAGUCAUAAGGUAACCUCGUAGCAACAAUCUGUACUCGCUACAGACCAUGUAGACACUUAGACCAUACAGUUGAUCAUAUUAGCCAUGCCGUGGAAUGGGAACAUAGAGAAUUAUAUUUGCCUCAUCUACACGAAACAUUGAACAUACCAAGUUUUCAUUUUAGCAUUUCUUGUUAGAAUGAAUAAGAUCAACAACCAAUUUUAUUAAAUCUAACCAGUUGCACCUUGAAGGUAACUUUGCAAGGCAACCAACUAUCAUUUCAUAUAGUAAUACAAUUUCCUAAGCCUACUUUUCAUAUGAUCCCUUUCUCCAGUAUGCCUAUUGCUAACCAAAUACUACACUAGAUAAAGGUUGAUUUCCUAACUCAACUAGUAAAAAAUAUUUAUUCGCAAAAUACUUUGCCUUUAAAACACGAGCAACAGGAGAAUUAUGAUUAUAAAGAAGAAAUCAACCUUGUUUAGCCAGUAAAGCAAUGUUAAAUUUCAUUAAAUCUUGAAACCCCAAACCACCCACCUCUUUUAAAUCACACAAUACAUCUCAUGAACACUAAUGCAUCGCUUUUUACAUGAGAUCUUUGCCACCAAUACAGAUUGAAGAUAUAAUCUACAUUUUUGUAGAAAGAAUUCGAUGAAAGAAAACAUGCCAUAGUAUAAGUAGGAAUACUCUAUAGAAUAGGCUUAAUAGAAACCUCAUUACCCUUUAAAACCGUUUGAAUACUCCAGCUAUUAAUCUUGCUACGAAUACGAUGUUUUAGCACCUGAAAAGUUAGCUUCUUGUUACACUCCACCAUAAUAGGGAGGCCUAAGUACUUAUCAAGAUUAGCAGAAUUUCUAACGCCAAAAGAUUGUAACGGCCCAAAAAUUCUAAUAUGACAAGUGGCAUAAAUUUUAAGCUUGAAUAUCGAGAAAAUUAUGAGAAUUUAUGAAAUGAAUCAUAUAAGAAUUUUAUGAAAGAAAUUUGAUGUUGGAAAUGGAAGCAUGUGAAAAUAAUAGUAAAAGUGAAAAUAUGAUAAAAAUAACCAAAUUGUAAAUUUUAAAAAGUAUGAUGACUAAUGUGCAAAACUAUCUGAAUGUGGAAAAUAUUAAUUAUUGUGGAUUUUUUGGCUAUGAAAUGGAUGAGAUUGUGAUUUGGUGUGAUGAAAAUCACUUUUGGGACUAAAUUGAAUAGUACAAUAACUAAGUUGUAAUUUUCCCAUUUAUGUCGGGAAAAAAGCCAAAGUGAGAUUUUCAUUACUCAUGGAAUUAUAAUAAUUAUGUAUGAUCAAUUAUGAACUUAAAUUGGUCUAAGUAUGGAAUUUUGAGAAGAAUCGCUAAAAAGGGUAAAAAGUGUCAAAUGGAAAUUUUGCUGAAAAGGAUAAUUUAAUCAAUUAUUGAGACUUCAAAGCUGAAAGUAAUAUUUAAAUAUGAUAUUUGGCAUCUGGAAUUUAUUUUGGAUCUUUUGAACCUCGUAUUAAUAGGAAUGGGCUUCAAAUUGGCAUAAAAUGGACUUGAAACAUGUAAACAUGAGCCCAAAACCCAUUUGUUGGUUUCUUAAAGAUGAGAAAGAAACACAUUAGUUCAUUCUCUUCUUCUCUAACGAAAACAACAGAAAAAUAUGGAAAGUUCACUUCCUUUCUUCCAUUUUCUUGCUCAUUUCACCAAUUUCUCUCAAAAUUUUCACUACCCAUCUUAAGAUUUUGAUAAAAUCUCUAUGGAAACUACCUCUUAAACUCAUACUCAUUUCACCAAUUUCACCAAUUUGAGCUUAAGGUUUAUGGAGCUUUUGUGAGGGAAGAUGAAGCUAGAGUGGUUAUAUUUUUGGUUUUCUACAAUGGUAAGAAUAGUUUUCUACACCUUCAUUAAUUGAUAGUUGUUGAGAUAUGAUAUGAAAAAGCUUAGAAUGAAUUUAUAUUAAUUUUUGGUUAUAUUUUUGGUUUAUGGUAAAUGAGGAAAUGGUAGUUAAUGGAUGUUCAAACUUGAUUGAUGGUGGAAUAAAACUUGUGAAGGCUUGAUUUAGUGUUGUAAAGCAUCCAUUGAUGUAAGUAUCAUGGAUACUCUUCUUUCUCCCAAGUUAGUAAGCUUGCAGUUAUGAAUUAAUGUUGCAAUUAAAUGUUUAACAUUGUUAAUAAAAUGUGAAAUUUCAUGGCAUGAUGUGUAUGAUAAAACUCUAAAAUAUGGAAGAGUGGAAAUAUUCUAGGCAUGCUAAUGUAUUAGUGAACAUGUGUGAACCAUGUGACUAAUAUGAAAAGGUUGAAUAAUGUCAUUAUGGCUAAAUUAUGUUAAAAUAUAAAGUCAUUAAUACUGACAAGAAUCGAUAGAAGCUAUAAUAUGGAAAUGGCCAUAACAUGACAAAGGAAAUGGCCAUAACAUGACAAAGGAAAAUUGAACACUGAAAACUUGUAUAAGGCCUAAUUAACAAUGCGAAAUGAAAUUAUAUGUGAAGGCAUUUGGGUGCCUAAAAGUAGUCUGAGCUAUGUAAACUAAAAUGAAAGAAUAUAAGGGAAUGUAAAUCAUGUUUAUAACCAAGAUAAAUAUACACAUAUUAUGAGAAAUGAAACUAACUGCUAAUUUCUAUUUUAAUGGCAUGAGCCGUGUAAAUUUUAUUUAAAGUGUCAAAAGUCACGUGAUCUUUACUAAAUCCUAGUAGAGUGUCAAAUACCAUGAGAAAUUUUUACUAAAACUAAAAAUUAAAUUGAAAUGGAAAAUUGCACUGAAACUAAUAAUAAUUUGAUAAGAAUUCUUCUAAUAAACUGAAUUAAUAAAACAAAGCCCUCGUAGCUUAGUGAGCUAGCUAGGAUGUGAUUGACAUGUCAAUAGAUGACUUCUGUUACUAGUACUUCGUUACUUCUGUUAUUAGUACUUUUAUACUUUUGUUACUAGCACUUUGGUGCUUCUAUUACUGGCACUUUAGUGUGAUUCUGUUAUGGUUUUCGAACACUAAUGCUAUGACGUUUUUGUUAUUACAAUGUGUUGGGUGGUUAGCCCUGAGUAUCCAACAUUUGUCUUUGAGUCAACUCAUGGUGUAAUUAAUUGCAAACUAAUUAAUAAGAUUGACCAUGAACAUAAGAAAAUGAAUAUUAAUAAUAGUACGUAAUAAAAAGCUAAUAAGCUAUAAUAAUUGUAAAUAAUUGAAUAGAAAUAUAAGCUACUAAGAAAGUGGUGUAAAUGAAUGACAUAAUAUAUUGUGGUGUGAUUGAAAGCCUUAAUGCGUUAUUGAGGUGAGUUAAUAAUUGUGCAAGACCUUGGGAUGAAAAAUGAAAUUGAAAUUGAAAGGUAAGAUUCAUAAAUGAAUCAAAUGUCAAAACUAGAAUAUAUGCAUAAUAGGAACAGUCAAUAAAUCAUCAAGCUAUAAGUUGAGGCUUAACUUGCAAAUUCACAUGAAAUGGUUAAAUUAAUAACAAUGUGGCUUAAAUAAACUUAAAAAAAUGAUUCGUCUAAAGAGCUCAAGGUUAUUAAAGACUUAGGAUAAACUUUAAUUAUUCUUGUUACUUAUUAAGCUUUAUAGCUCACCUAUUAGUGGUUUAAAACGCAUAGGUGCAAACUUGCCAAGAAGUUGCUAUGAUAGUUACGAAGCAUCACAUCGCCCGAUGAUCCUAUAAGGUUGUUUUUCAAAUGUUAAAGUGUAAUUUGUAUUAUAUUAGUAGGAUAUAUACUAAGUAUCGUGAUGAAUAUAAAGAUUGUAAUGUGAAUCACAUGUACUUAAGGCAUCAAUGUGUAAUUUCAUAUGUCAAAUAGUACUUGGAACUUGGGUAUGGUGUAGUGGCUGAAGGAUUAAGAAAUUAGUUAAUGUUCAAAAAUGUGUAAAACUGUAAUGGCUUGAGCCGCCUAAACUGCUCCUUAGCAAAAAAAACAACUCCAGUAUCGCCUAAGCGGGAGCUUUGGCAACUUGGGUGGCAACUUAAUGUACUUUUACUCUUUUUUGUUUUACUUAAUUUCUUAUAAAUUCUUUAAGGAUCUAAGUAACUUUUAAAAAAUUAAGUAAAUUCCUAUAUUUUACAAAUUACCUAAUUCUUUUGUUUUAAUUGGCAUUUUAUGAUUUUUGAACUUUGAUUUGAAAGCAUAAAACUCAUUUUAAAUAGAAUUUAAAUAUGUUUACAUAAUUUUAUAAAAAUAUUUUAUCCUAUAACUUUUUAAAAUAGAGUAUUGGUUUUGCUCUAAAAACGUCUUGUUAGCAUCUUGCGUUCAAAUCGACUAUCGCAAGGGAUGUUAUGGUUUGAGUUACCAAAUGUCUAUUAGACGUAUACACUGAAGCAUAUAAGAGAUUUCUCGAAAUUAACAAUUUUUCCCAAAACACUGCUCAUAUUCACUAUUGAUCCCUUUAACCAUAUUGGCUCCCUCAACGUGACUUCACCAAAAAUGAUAUUGUCAUUGAAAAAAGAAAAAGUUGCGUUAUAGUAGGACCAGCCCUACCAACCUUAGCCCCUCUUAGUACACCCUCAUAAUUAGCAAUUCGUAAAAGAGUAGAAAAGCCCUCAUUGCAAAUUAGAAACAAUGAGGGAUUUAAUGGGUGUUGAAGACCUCUAAAUAGGGUAAUUAUACCUCUAACAGACCCAUUAACCACAACAAAAUAUUGAAUUGAAGAAACAAAUUGCAUCGACAAAUUAACCCAUCAAUCCACAAAGCCUAUUUUAAGCAACAUAUCCGCGAUUGUCAUUCAACACAAUCAUAAUCUUUCCUUCUAUCUAGCUUGAGAGCAAAAGACCCCUUUCGCCUCGUGCACCUUUUCUUGAAAGAGUGCAUAAUUUCAUAAGCCAUUACAAUAUUAUUAGAAAUAAGUCUUCUAGGCACAAAAGCAUUUUGAGCCUCUAUAAUGGUGCAAAAGUACUUGAAGCCUACUUACAAUAGCAAUGAAAAUAAUCUUAUAAAUAACAGUACAAAGGUUGAUCAACCUAAAGUGAGACAUAGUCCGAGCAUUAGACUGUUUCGAGAUCAAAAUAAUAUUAGAGUGAUUAAUUUCUAUCAUAGAAGACCCACUAUUUAAAAUGGAUAAACAAUAAUUCACAAUAUCAAAACUAAUAAUAUGUCAAUAAUUAGAAUAUUGGCAAUUUAUUGAACCAAAAUUUAGGAUUUUGAUGAUUCAAGCUAUUAAUGAAGAUCAAAUCACUUGAGAAACAUAUCCUAAGGAUCGGAUCGUUUAUAUAAAAUUCUUUGGAUUAAAGGAAGUUGGAUUGAACCAAAACUUAAAGAUUUAUUUACCAACCAUCUUUUUUUUUAGUUGUUAAUAUAAUAUUGUAUUUAGUUAUUUUAACAAUUGUUUAGAAGGAAUUACGAUUGACCUUUAAUAUCUUGACAAAUCUAAAGAAUCUUUAUAUAUUUAAUAGACUUAUAUAGGUAGUUAUACUAAUUAUUAGGAGCAGUUAUCUAUUUAGUAAGUAAUGAUAUUUGUAAGAAUGCAUUUCGACAAUAAAACUUUUUUAUGAUUGAUUUUAGUGGUGAAAGAUCUAAUCUUUGAAGUAUAAAAGAGAAUUCUUCACUAAGAUAUAUUAGAGCUAGGAUUGUUGGUUGUAUUGAUUUCAAAUAUGGUAGAUUCAUCUUAUCAAGUUAAGCUCAGUUGACAUAUAGAAACCAAAUUAAGUAAACAAUUUAUUGACCCCUAUUUUCACCGCGGUUUACGCAAUUAUUGCAUCAAUAUCUACUUUCACCAUCACUUUUGCUCAUAAUAUGUUCUUACAGUUCAGCAGCUGGUUUAGGUCAACAAAGACAAAGAUGUUUUGAUAGUACAAUGCACAUUCAAACUUUAGACAAAUCAAUACAUAUGUUCAACAUAAAAAGUUGCAGCAACAAUAGAAACAUUGGGGGAAGCACAAUCACGAUAAUAUGAUAAAAAUAAGACGACAUAAAUGGCCAACUAAUGCUCUGCUUGAGCUGUGGAGUUUUAUGGAGAAGAUUUCCAAACUGCCUCUGAAGAAGGAUUUUCAGAAAGUUGAAAUCCUAAAUUAACAAGGAAAAUUAAUCAAGAAUGAGCAGGACAUGAUCCUUUGCCAAUCAGAUGGGAGAAUUAAGAUAUAAAGAAGAUGAAAACCAAUAUAAUAAAUGCAAAAACUUGAUUUUUUACCUGUAGCGUGGCCAUGGAGUAAAAGAUCACCAUCAUUCUCAUGACCAUUUGCAGCAUCAAACAUGAAGGACGCUUCAGGAUUUGCCUCCAAGGAGGAACCAGUAGGAAGAAGUCCUACAUUUUUAACCCCAAAAAUAAAAAAAUAAGUAACCAUAGGGGUAAAUUUUACUAAUAAAGAAGCUUUUUUUUGGGGUACUGUUAAGCUUUCAUUACAUUUUAAGUUGGGAGGAGGCGAGAAAGAAUAGCACUAUAUACAUAUUCGAAUCAUGGACAUCAUGGCAACAGAACUUAAAACUACACAACUUAUUUGCCACUAGACCAGUGGAGAUCAUGCCAGUAGAACUUAAACCCCCACAAGUUAUUUACCACUGGACUAUUAGCUGUGAUAAAAACAUGUGGCAAUUGGAGAGAAGAAUUAAAAAAAAAUACAAUAAACAAGAUAAACUAAUAUGAUGAAUGCAAAAAAAGAAAAAGAAAAAGAAAAAAACUCAAUGUAUUACCAGCACCAACGACAUUGUUGAAAAUGUUAUCAUGAUUGUUCGUAGCACCAUACUCAGGCAAGUUAUAAUUUGCAGUAGCAGAAUUAGUCCAGUCUCCUAAAUUAACAAGAAAGUUAAUUCAGGAAGCCGUGAGAAAGACCUUGAAAUUAAGAGUUAAAUUAACCAGCAUAAAACCAAAAAUUUUAAUGCCGAAAAGACAUGAAAAUCCUUCGCACAAAUUGGGGGGGGAAAAGACACAAACCAAAAAUAUAUAAUGAUGAGUACAAAAACCUGCUUUAUUACCCUGACUAUUAGGGGCAUCAGACCCAAAGGGCAAGUUAUGAUUUGCAAAACCAGCAGCAGCAGCAGCAGCAGCAGAUGCCGUAAUGUUGUAGUCCUGGUCUGCAAACAUGUUAAAAAAGUCUAUCAAUACAACACCAAGCAAUUUAAUCAAGUUGUGGCUCGUGACUUAUAUAAUUACCAAAGCAUGUUUGCUGAAGAAAAUCAGCCAUGGAAGGAUGAAAGUAUGUUGACCCUGUCUCUCCCGAACUCACUAAUCCAUUAACACUUUGUAAAACAGCUCCCGAAGUUGCUAAAACUUGACCACCUUGCACAUUGGUCUGCAAUGCAAACCAUUCUACCACCUGCAAUGUAGAAUUCAAUUCAACACUCAAUGGAAUAUCAGAAACUCAAAUAUUCAAUAUACAGCAUAAUCGGCAUACCUUUUCCAAAGAAGUAAGCAUUUGCCCCUGCAAUUGAAGAGAGAUGAAUUAUAAACUUUAUCUAACAUAAGAGAAUACUACCUCAACCAAAAAAAUGGUGAGAACAAACCCUCCCCAACAUGAAAAGAGACGACAAUACCUAUUUCGGUACAAAAAGAGCAUCCGAAAAGCUGUAACACAUUUCCAAUUCAGCUGGACGAAGAGAAACCGUCCAUGAAAUUACAAUAAUUAUUACAGUCAAUGCAUUCGACUAUAGAUACAAACAUGAUCAAUUAUUACAAUGAAUUAUCUGACUGAUAACUAAUAACUAAUAUAUAUAUGUAUGUAUGAACAAAUCCACAAAAUAAAUUAGAAUAAAUAUAGAGAAAACUAGAUCCAAUGACACUUAAACAAGGGAUCUAAAAAUUACCCUAAUUUCCUUUCUACUACUAAGUUAUGGCCUUAUCAUAAAAAAGAAAUAAAUAGUGAUAAAUCUUUGAAUAAAAGAUACAUAAACUUAACCAAAUGUUAAGUACUAACUACUAAGUAAAAAUGGCAAUAAACAUAAAUUAUAAAAAUUUACAAGAAACAGUUUUCUGAACAAGUAUUUUUUUUUAAAAACAAAGAUUUAUAUAAUACAAAUUUCCGUACAUCAACUUUCCAUCCAGUGGGAUUCCCCUGAAUUGUUCCUCGUUUGCUGUCUAUAAAAAAGCAAUUAUGAUUUCACAAAAUAAGAUUAAAAAACAGUCAUAUAAAUGGGUAUUCUAGGAGAUUUCAAGGUUUUCCAUGUGAUUCAAACAAAUUUAUGAUAGUUUAAGCUAAUUAUUAUUGAAAUGAAACUAAAAGGAGAGAGGAAUGGGAGUGCAGAACCUGUGCCUCAAGCUUUCUCUUAAGUUGUUGGAUCUCAUUUCCCAUAACCCCAAUUUUAGACUUGUAUUCCUCUAGCUCCAUUUUCGUCUUCUGGUGUUCAUCCUUCAACUUUGGGAUCUCUUGUUCCUCCUCCUUACGCCUCAUCUUUAGUUAUAAAAUCACCAAAGCAAAAAUUAAUCAAUUAAUUAAUUAAAGACAUAAAUAAACGAAGGGGAAAAGUUGACGAUCACUGUACUUUAAUUUUCAGUCGAUAUCGUUUACAGUUCUCGUUAUGUUUAUCCUUCUGAGCUCGCGUUUUCAGAGAUUUGGUACCCCUUCGUUUGGCUUGGAUUCCGGUCUCAGCCUCCACUGCCGCUUCAGCGCCGCCCGUACCCCCCAUUUCUUGAGGCGGCUGCUGCUUUCUUUUCACCAUCAAACUAGAUUACAAGAAUAAAGCUGCCUCUCUACUUGAUUACCCGGAAUUUGUACUACACACUACUUUCGAUUCCAAACAAUUGAUUGAAUCUUUCAAAAAACUUGCAUAGGGAAUGGAUCAAAGAUUCAAAAAAACAAACGACGACUUCAAGUCAACGCCUCUAGAUAAGAACAAAACGAAGAAAAAGUGAUGAAACGGUGAGAACCGUCCAUUUCUGAUAAACCUCCGAAAGGCUAAAUCGGCAGUGAAGAAAAGAAACUCAUCAUCUCAAAUUUUGAAGAGAAAUAGUCUCUUCAGUCGAGUUAUAUAAAGAUAGCAGAGCAAGGUGCAAAGUUAGAGUUCUGUUUUGAUAUAAUUGUACUCAGUCCCUAUACUCUUUGCUCAUUUAAAAUUUAAUGUCUUUACUUUUAAUAUUAAGAAUUUAAUCCUUUUAUUUUUUGUUUAAUAAUAUGUUUUUUGAAGUUACAUGUAAGAUACAACAGUUCCAAUCAAAACAUAUGGCAGAAAUUCGAAUCUAAGCAUUCAAAUUUUCAAAGUCUCGACUUUACCAAUACAACCAACGUUUUAUUAGAUCAUGUGUCGUGUCAUUAAUUGAACUUUGAUUAUUAAAUUAAAAGAAUAGAAAAACUAAACUUCUAAAAUUAAAAAGUAAAAAUACUAAAAUUUAAAUAUACAAAAAUACAGGGACUAAAAAUAGAAUUAAACCUUUUUUUCUCAACUUUUUCAUCUGCUCGCGCGAAAAUUUCUCUCGAUACCGUUUUCCUAAUUUCUUUUUAAAAAUCUACUUUUAGAUUUAGAAUAUAUCAUAAAAUUGGUAUCACCAUGCAAUCCGACAUCAAAUUCGAUUCUUUUAUAUAAAAUUAACUUUUAUUACUUGAAGCUAGUCUAAUUUUUUAUUUAACAAAUAUAAAAAUAUACAUAUAGUAGAACUUAAAUUUUUGUUUGAUAAUUAGAUUAGUAAAACUUUAAAUUUUUUUAUUCAAUUAAAGUUUUAUUUUAAUAUUUAUACAUUUUAAUUUUAAUAUGUACAUUUUAUUAACUCCAUUAAUUAUAUUUACACUAUUAUUUAAGUUUAUGAUCGAGUUGGUGUCACAAAUCAACCGAACACCAACUCAGUUAGAGAAUUUACUCUGAUGUCUUUCUAUAUUUAAAAUAAAUUUUAUUAUUCGAGAAUACUUUAUUUUUUUAUUUUUCUAAAAAAAUCAAUAAAAAUUUACAUAUAAUAAAAUUUAAACUCAUGACAAUUGAAUUAAUAAAACUUUAAUAUUUAUUAAAAUUAAAAAUAAUAGCAUAAAAUAGUAUAUAUAUUAACUGAAAUGAUUAAGUUAGUAUCACCUUUAAAUUAGAUUCCAACCCAAUUAAAAAAUUAUCAAAAACUCGUUUAUUUUAUAAAAUAAAAAACAUUAUUUUAAUAACAUUUAUGUCAUUUUGUAUUUUGAUAAAUCUAAAAAUAUUAUAUAUAUAUAUAUAUAAAUAUAGACAUGAGGAGAUUAUGAAAUGUGAAUAGAUGACAUCAUAAGUUUCACAUUUAAUUUUUAAAAUAAUUUUUUUUAUAAAUUUCUUAGGUGAAUAUUUUCACUCAACUCUUGAAUUAAAAUAAUAGCACAUUCCAAUCAAUAUUCUUUUGAAUAUUAUAAUAAUAAAAAUAUUAAUUAAAUUAAAACUCAAUUUUUUUUAAAUUACUACAAGAAUAGCGACAUCGCUAAUAUUUACUUAGCAAAUCAAAAUAAUUAUUUUAAAUUUAAAUUAUGGCAUUUAAAAAUGAAUUCAUUAACUAAUUUAAUAAAUUCAGUUUAUGCAUAAAAAUAGAAAAUAGAAAAUAUAUUUAAAGUGUUAUUGAGUUUCAUUAAAAUUUGUGAGGUCCAAAUAGAUUUGAAUUGAACAUGACUAUUCAUCACCGUUUUGUCUUAUCUAUGAUAUUUUUAUUAAUUUAACCUUCAAAUUACACAUUAUCGCAUGAUACAUCAUUUAUUUUUGUGGUCUUACAUUACCUAAACAAACUUCAAUAAAUAUUUUAAAUUCUACAUUUUUUAUUUUCUUAAAUGAUUUUAUUUGCCUGUGGGACUGUGCUAUAAUUUUGGGUGAAAUUUAUGAUUUUGUUUGACUUUAUUUUCAAAUUUUUCUAUAUUCAAAUUUAAGAAAUUAAAUUUUGGUUGCUUUCCUUUUAUAAUUGAAUUUUUUUAGCCUUCCAACUUUAUAAAAAAAAUUUACUUUAACUCUACAUUUAAUUUUUCCUUUUUUUAACUUUUGAGCUUAUAUUUUUUGUCAAAUCAUUUUAAAAUGAGUAAAAAAGUUAAUGUUUACUAACUUUGAUGACAUGAUAUAUGUAGAUUACCACAUAAAUGACCCGUCAACAUUUAAUUAAUUUUUAAAAAUAUUUUUGUUUAUAGUUUUUAUUAAUUUUUUAUUUUUUUAAAUAGUUGUUAUAAUUUUAAAAUUUUUAAAUUUAAAAAAUAAUUAAAUACUGACGUUUCAUACAUGUGGAUGUCAUGUCAGCAAGGUUAAAAAAACAUUAACAUUUCUUUUCAUUUAGAGGUAAUUUAACAAAAAAACUCAAGUUUAAAGGUUAAAAAGGUAAAAAUAAAUAAAUGAAAGGAUUUUUUUUUUAAGUUGGAGGACCAAAUAAAUCAUUAUAUAUUUAAAAUUUAAUUUGAAUUUUUACAAACUAAAUACUUUAGUUUUUUAUGUAAUAUUUAGUUUAUCCUUUUAAUUUUUUUGUUCGAAUAUUCAAUUUUUUUCUCUCUUGACUCUGAUUUUUUAAUCAUUUUAUUUUUUAAUAAUAAAAAUAUAUAAAACAUUAAUAAUUAAAAAAAUAUGAGACAAAUAAAAAAUUUAUAGUUUUUUUUAGUAGAAAUGACUGAUAUUUAUUAAGCACACGACUCAAGGUGGGUAGGCAAAAGUUUACAGCAAAAUACAAAAUGAAAAGACAACACAGCAGCAGGCCAAACGGCCAAAAACAACUAAAAACCGCACACUGGAAAAACAAAACCAUAAAUGCAAGUGAUCCAAAACCACCCUAAACCAAAACCAAGACAGUUCACAAUCAGAAUACCAGCCGAAACAACUUUCUCCUCCUACGUAAAAAGACGAUCUAGAGAUGAGUAAAAGGAAACCCAAAAGCUUUGAGUCCAGCCAUGGAGAUUCAGAGAACCUUCUCCACAAUUAAAGCAAUCUACAAUGAACUUUGGUGUCUCUGUGUCCAAACCAUCCAAUCAUUUUCCACUAUCAUCUUUACUGAAACCGGAACCCCGUCAACCCAAAUACUAGAACUUUGUCUUCUCCUUCCUUCGAUUGCCAAAGUAUGGGCUGCUCUAUUGACCAGUCGGGGAACAAAAAGGUAACUAACUUCUUCAAAGCAAUUUUCCAAAUUACGAAUAUGAUGAAUAAUAGAUCUAAGAAUCGAUUUAUCUUCUUCCUUUAUCUUAAGUUUUUUUUAUGACCGUUAGAGAAUCCCUUUCCACAACCAAGCACCGGAAACCCAUUCUAAAAGCAAAGAGCAAAGCCCUUUCACAUGCCCUUGCUUCAGCCACGAACGCGUCGACAACGUCCUCAAAUAGAUAAGUUUCUGCUCCUACAAUUUCUCCUUUAGAACCUCUAGCCAAAAUUGUUGUUGUAAAAGUUCUAGAGUCACUUUGAAAGGUUGUGUUAAAAUUUAAUUUGAUAAAACCCAAAUCUGGAGGACUCCAAAAUUCUUUCGGAAGAGAUCUACAAGAAACUCCCAGCUUCUCUUGGCAUAGACUUAUUUCUUGACCAUAGCCUCGAAUGAAACCUAACAGAUCCUGCAAAGAAAAUUUAACACCUUCAUGAAUCAACUUAUUUCUUCUGUACCAUAGAGCCCAUAGGAAAAUUGCAAUAAGUUUAUUCUGUUCAUCUGCUACAAAGAAAGUAUUAACAAAAUGAUUUUUGCAGUUUAAAGUGCUAUCCAUUGGAGCAAUUCUGAUUUGAAGGGACGCCCAGACACUCUGUAGUAUACCAUAGGACCACAGAAGAUGAAUAGUAUCUUCUGGAGCUUCCUUACAAAGAUGACAAUCAACUUCAUCUGUAACGCCCCUAACCCGAAUUCGUCCCCGGAAUAGAGUUACGGAGUAUUACCGGAGUUACCGAUUUAUUUAUUAGAUAUUUUAUUUCAUCUAACGUUCAUAUUUGGAACAAAUUAAAAUCAAUCAUAUUGUGCCUUAAACAUAUUUAUUUUUCUCGACAUGUUUUACUUGAAUUUAUUACUUUUCUCAAUAUACUUAAUUUCCUUGUAUCAACGUAUCAAAAAUAAUCACAUAUUGACAUAUUAUGAUAAAUAUCAUUCUUUAGUCAUUUCUUCAAAAACAUAAAUAAGGUAAUUCAUUAUAUUGAUAUUUCAUGCAUUUAAAAAUAAAAUUAUUACAAUUUAAUCCUUAUUUCCAG
This 28447-nucleotide long non-coding RNA is filed under the name Gossypium barbadense (sea-island cotton). RNAcentral describes it as "long non-coding RNA (GBAR_LNC001420)". Lineage: Eukaryota; Viridiplantae; Streptophyta; Magnoliopsida; Malvales; Malvaceae. The record is from RNAcentral.